CCUACGGGAGGCAGCAGUGAGGAAUAUUGGUCAAUGGGCGGAAGCCUGAACCAGCCAAGCCGCGUGAGGGAAGAAGGUAUAGCGUAUCGUAAACCUCUUUUGCCAGGGAACAAAGGCGGUGACUAAUCCACGGAUGAGGUUACCUGAAGAAAAAACAUCGGCUAACCCCGUGCCAUCAGCCGCGGUAAGACGGAGGAGGCGAACGUUAUCCGGAAUGACUUGGCGUAAGGGGGGCGUAGGUUGUUUGGCAAGUUAGUAGCGUAACCCCAAGGCUCAACCUUGGAACUACUACUAAAACUGUUGGACUUGAGUGCAGGAGGGGCAACCGGAAUUCCUAGUGUAGCGGUGGAAUGCGUAGAUAUUAGGAGGAACACCAGUGGCGAAGGCGGGUUGCUAGACUGUAACUGACACUGAGGCACGAAAGCGUGGGGAGCAAACAGGAUUAGAUACCCGAGUAGUC
This 460-nucleotide ribosomal RNA is filed under the name uncultured bacterium. RNAcentral describes it as "partial 16S ribosomal RNA". It matches the Rfam family "Bacterial small subunit ribosomal RNA", at positions 338 to 795 of the family's 1533-position model. The record is from RNAcentral.